This is a small nucleolar RNA of Echinops telfairi (small Madagascar hedgehog), 64 nucleotides long. NCBI's taxonomy places the organism in Eukaryota, Metazoa, Chordata, Mammalia, Afrosoricida, Tenrecidae. The record is from Ensembl.
AUGGCAGAAGAGUUCAAAGGGCUGGGCCUCUCCUGUGGCUCAGCCUUAUUUCAUUCCUGUGACA